RNAcentral lists this long non-coding RNA (1379 nucleotides) under Marmota monax (woodchuck). The record is from RNAcentral. Lineage: Eukaryota; Metazoa; Chordata; Mammalia; Rodentia; Sciuridae.
GGGACAUUUCUCUUUCCGAGUCCAGCCGAUACAAGUCCAUUCCCGCUCGCAGCCAGGAUAUACCUGUGUCUCCACUCCCAGGGUCCCUCCGGCCAGGGCUUAUUUUGCCAUCUCAUCUGGUCCCACCUACUCUUAAUUCUCCACCACAAGCAUUGUUUUUACUCCCAAUCUCUUCUUCCCUUCGAGCCCCUCCAUGAUCUCCAUCCCUUUUCACUACUUGAAAGUUAUCGUCUCUUUUCCUCGGAAAAAAUGGACUUUAAAUAGUUAUUUUAUUCUUCUCAUUGGGGAAAGGGAAUAGAAGAAAAGCCGUGUGGAAAUCGAGACGUCCAGAGGAAAAAUAUAAAAGCAAAGAGAAAUAUGGACGGAGGGAAUACAUAAACUAGAGAUCCAGCCCGCGCUUAGCAUGUGGCAGGCUCCAGGUUCAAUCACCAGCGCCCCCCAAAAAAGGCAAUAUUUAAUGAGGUUUACUAUGUGCCAGGUACUGCACGGUACGUUUUACACAGGUAAUUUCACUCUUUCACACACUGGAGUAGAUAUUGUUAUCCCCAGUAUUUUAUGGAGGAGGAAACUGAAGGCCAACAGCUUGUCCAAGGUUAUAUAGAUAAGAAGUGGUAAUGAGAAAGUUUUUAGACUCCAGAACCUUGAACCUUUAUCCUAUAAACUGCCUUAAUUUUAGGUUUUCACACUGAACAUUGAACUCUGCAUAAAUCUACACAAAAGAGGGGAGAAAUAGACUAGUCCUCUCCAAAAGACUCAAUUGUCCCUCAAGUACCUUAGAACCCUAAUUCGGUCUAUUAAAAACCUGGCUUCAUGGUUAAAUUGCCAGAGGUUAAAUAGAAUGAUGGGGUGGGGGGGAUUAAACGAAGAAUCAAAUCUCUCUUAUCUGGGAACAGAUAAAGUAACUUUAUAACUAGUAAGGCAUGCUUACAUCAGAAUAACUCUGGCCCUGCCUCUGAUCCGGGUUCCCAAAGGAGAGGAAGCGGGGCGCGGGGCGGGGAAAAGCCAUUCCAAGGAGUAGACUAGAAGAUUCGCUUUUAUUCAGUUUCUCAAACUCUAACAUGUAUCAACUCAAAUAUUAGCUUUCCCAUAUCCCACACGGAGGGAGUUUUUUUCCCUGAGCCCCAGCCAGAGAUUCUGAGUUCAGAAGGUUGGGAGUAGAGCUCAUGAAUUUGCAUUUCUUUCCUUUUGGGGUGGGGGAGUGUCUAGGAUUGAACCCAAGGCCUCAAGCAUGAUGUAUGGCUGAGCUACAUCCCCAUCCCUGAUUUCUCCUAACAAAUUAAUAGGUGAUGCCAUUGCUGCUGCUCUGCGUACCUCCACCUAAAGCCAUUUUCACCCAAACCUAGCAAUAAUUUAAUGGUAACUACCUUAUAUUUAAAUGG